RNAcentral lists this ribosomal RNA (461 nucleotides) under uncultured bacterium. Its description in RNAcentral is "partial 16S ribosomal RNA". It matches the Rfam family "Bacterial small subunit ribosomal RNA", at positions 28 to 507 of the family's 1533-position model. The record is from RNAcentral.
GACGAACGCUGGCGGCGUGCUUAACACAUGCAAGUCGAGCGGUAAGGCCUUUCGGGGUACACGAGCGGCGAACGGGUGAGUAACACGUGGGUGAUCUGCCCUGCACUUCGGGAUAGCCUGGGAAACUGGGUCUAAUACCGGAUAUGACCUCCUAUCGCAUGGUGGGUGGUGGAAAGAUUUAUCGGUGCAGGAUGGGCCCGCGGCCUAUCAGCUUGUUGGUGGGGUAAUGGCCUACCAAGGCGACGACGGGUAGCCGACCUGAGAGGGUGACCGGCCACACUGGGACUGAGACACGGCCCAGACUCCUACGGGAGGCAGCAGUGGGGAAUAUUGCACAAUGGGCGAAAGCCUGAUGCAGCGACGCCGCGUGAGGGAUGACGGCCUUCGGGUUGUAAACCUCUUUCAGCAGGGACGAAGCGCAAGUGACGGUACCUGCAGAAGAAGCACCGGCUAACUACGUG